UACAGAGGGUGCAAGCGUUAAUCGGAAUUACUGGGCGUAAAGCGUGUGUAGGUGGUUUGCUAAGUCAGGUGUGAAAUCCCUGGGCUCAACCUAGGAAUUGCAUUUGAUACUGGCAGACUCGAGUGCGGUAGAGGAUGGUGGAAUUCCCGGUGUAGCGGUGAAAUGCGUAGAUAUCGGGAGGAACAUCAGUGGCGAAGGCGGCCAUCUGGACUGACACUGACACUGAGACACGAAAGCGUGGGGAGCAAACAGG
RNAcentral lists this ribosomal RNA (253 nucleotides) under uncultured bacterium. Its description in RNAcentral is "partial 16S ribosomal RNA". It matches the Rfam family "Bacterial small subunit ribosomal RNA", at positions 524 to 776 of the family's 1533-position model. The record is from RNAcentral.